This 401-nucleotide ribosomal RNA is filed under the name uncultured Pseudomonas sp. RNAcentral's name for it is "bacterial SSU rRNA". It matches the Rfam family "Bacterial small subunit ribosomal RNA", at positions 984 to 1382 of the family's 1533-position model. Lineage: Bacteria; Pseudomonadati; Pseudomonadota; Gammaproteobacteria; Pseudomonadales; Pseudomonadaceae. The record is from RNAcentral.
ACAUGCAGAGAACUUUCCAGAGAUGGAUUGGUGGCCUUCGGGAACGUCUGACACAGGUGCUGCAUGGCUGUCGUCAGCUCGUGUCGUGAAAUGUUGGGUUAAGUCCCGUAACGAGCGCAACCCUUGUCCUUAGUUACCAGCACGUUAUGGUGGGCACUCUAAGGAGACUGCCGGUGACAAACCGGAGGGAGGUGGGGAUGACGUCAAGUCAUCAUGGCCCUUACGGCCUGGGCUACACGCGUGCUACAAUGGUCGGUACAAAGGGUUGCCAAGCCGCGAGGUGGAGCUAAUCCCAUAAAACCGAUCGUAGUCCGGAUCGCAGUCUGCAACUCGACUGCGUGAAGUCGGAAUCGCUAGUAAUCGUGAAUCAGAAUGUCACGGUGAAUACGUUCCCGGGCCUU